AUGAACGCUAGCGGCAGGCUUAACACAUGCAAGUCGAGGGGUAUAGUAGCAAUACUAGAGACCGGCGCACGGGUGCGUAACGCGUAUGCAAUCUACCUUUUACAGGGGAAUAGCCCAGAGAAAUUUGGAUUAAUGCCCCAUAGUAUAUAGACUUCGCAUGGAGAUUAUAUUAAAGUCACAACGGUAAAAGAUGAGCAUGCGUCCCAUUAGUUAGUUGGUAAGGUAACGGCUUACCAAGACGAUGAUGGGUAGGGGUCCUGAGAGGGAGAUCCCCCACACUGGUACUGAGACACGGACCAGACUCCUACGGGAGGCAGCAGUGAGGAAUAUUGGUCAAUGGGCGCAAGCCUGAACCAGCCAUGCCGCGUGCAGGAUGAAGCAUCUAUGGUGUGUAAACUGCUUUUGUACGGGAAGAAACACCGAUUCGUGAAUCGGCUUGACGGUACCGUAAGAAUAAGGAUCGGCUAACUCCGU
Molecule: ribosomal RNA, 474 nt
Filed under: uncultured bacterium
Lineage: Bacteria
Description: bacterial SSU rRNA
Rfam family: Bacterial small subunit ribosomal RNA
Source: RNAcentral